AGAGUGUACUGGCAGUGGAAACACCAUGAUCAAGCAGGUGGUUUUCCCAGGGUGAGACUAGUUCAUUGCACUUGGAACUUGUUGACCUCUGCGAUUUACCCAACUUUCAAGAUAUAGGAUAAUGCAUAGGGU
RNAcentral lists this small nuclear RNA (132 nucleotides) under Erinaceus europaeus (western European hedgehog). RNAcentral describes it as "U1 spliceosomal RNA (ENSEEUG00000021336.1)". It matches the Rfam family "U1 spliceosomal RNA", at positions 1 to 110 of the family's 166-position model. Rfam says of the family: U1 is a small nuclear RNA (snRNA) component of the spliceosome (involved in pre-mRNA splicing). Lineage: Eukaryota; Metazoa; Chordata; Mammalia; Eulipotyphla; Erinaceidae. The record is from RNAcentral.